Artibeus jamaicensis (Jamaican fruit-eating bat) is the source of this 2608-nucleotide long non-coding RNA. RefSeq lists it as uncharacterized. Lineage: Eukaryota; Metazoa; Chordata; Mammalia; Chiroptera; Phyllostomidae. The transcript is spliced from 4 exons. The record is from RefSeq and is a predicted model, not a curated record.
UUUUCUCAGAAGCUCCCAGCAAGGCCCCUCUCAGAUGGACUAUCAGGGGUUCUCUGCACAGUCCUCCGCUGAUCAUAAGCAAGGUGUUUCGAAAAUGUCUGAACUGCCAUCUCUGCAUGUAGCUGCGGAGAAGAUUCCUGCCUCAAAUGAAAAGUUGGACUGCACAGUCUCUGAAGUUCCUUUGUUCAGCUUGAAGAUCCAAUGAUUCUAAGUCAGCUCCUUCAGAAGUUAUGCAGAAAAUAACAGGCACGGCAGCCUUCUUGCCUCAAUGAAUCGAUCUACAUUCUCACUUCCUUCAAUCAAUAAAUCCCCAACCUGCUUGGAAACAAAAGUCUCUAAGUGAUGUAAGGAAACCUAAACCAGUCUGUGCCCCAUUCAUACAAGAGUGAUGGGGGAAAAAAGAGAGAGAAAGAAAGAAGAAAGACACCAAGAGGAGUUAACGAUUAAUUUGCUCACAACAUGAGCUGGUUGCUUCCCCAUCUGUGGGAUCCAGUGUUCAAUUCCCCUGAGAUCCAUCAAAGGAGGAAUGGCAUUAUUCUGCCUCAAAGAAGAUGCCAGUCUCUACCUAAGAAGUCCACCUACCCUGAGACCACCACGCUGUAAGGAAGCCCGAGCCAGACACAGAGAGAGACCACACAUUGGCGAGAGGCACGUGAGCAAAGCCUGGGACCUUCUGGCUGGCCCGGCCCAGUCAGCAGCCAAGAGCAGCCACAUGAGGAGUCCCGUUUGAUGCCGCACAGAGCAGGAGAAUCACCCAGCCAAGCACGGCCCAGAUGACAUGAUUAUGAGAAAUAAUCAGUCAUUGUUGAGUUAAGACACCAUAUUUUGGGGUGGUUUGUUAUGCAGCAGUAAGUAACUGGGAUAGCUGUGACUCUUCAUCUACCACCAAAGAGAACUCAGAAAUACUGGUGUAAUGGUAUCAUCAGCCAUCUAGACAGAGAAUUCCAAACCCUUCUGUGUAGAAAAUAGCCCAAAUCCUGCAUUCAGUAGUUGUCUAGGAAAGUUCAGUAGUCUCCGUGUGCUCCUACUUCCCACUGCUCCUGACAAACACUCUUUGAAAGCAUCUACCGCACCUUCAAGUAGGGGCCACACCUAGUGGGAUGGGAGAGGAGCUCCGGUGCAGACCCGGAGGCCUACACUCCAGCUCUCUCUCACGCCCUUUUGACUUACUCCAGACUUUGGGCAAGACAGUCAGUCUCUUCUGCCUGUAAGAUGGAAAUAAAAUCACCCUAUUGACUGAAAAGAACACUGCAAUUUAAGGAUGCCACCACCAGAUGGCUACAGUCUAUAAACAGAGUCGCCAAAAUCCCAAAAGUAAAGAUUAAAUUAAAAAUGAAGGUUUACUAUGCAUCCAAAGAGACAAGACUAGCACAGUCAACGCCAUUAGAGAAUAAGACAGUUUCUAUUCCAGUGCUGAUCCGCGGAGCAGGGCUGACAGUAAACACCAUGCAAGAGAGGGACAGACAAGGGAGAGUCCCCCUCAAAUGAUCCAAGAACAGACUUCCGAGAUGGUACCCACCCUACAGCGCGCUUCAUUCAGAGACAAACGGCAGGCAGAAUCAGGAGACAGGCACCUCUGCGAGGCCAGCCACAGGCCAAUACAAAUUUCCUUGGACGUCUGGCCAAACACUGUUUGAGACUCUCUAGCAAGAGAAUCCCAACUGAAUCAUUAGCCAAAUCCCUGGACAGUCCUCAGUGAGUCAUUUAGGCUGUGUCUCUUGGGACAGCAUCUCUCCUGCCCUGACCAGCCACUAGGGCAAACAUUGACAAUGGAUUAUGCCCAUUACUUUCUGCUCUUACCCACCCUUCCCACCGGAGGCAGACGGCCGGCUCCCCCUCCUGCCCUCUCCUCCCACACCUGCGGUGCUGGUUUGAAGCAACAAAGCCACCUUGACAUAGCUGACCUAUCCAUCUUGCUGCCACGGCCUCACGGCACAAACUGCUCACGGACGCUGGUCAUCAGCCUGUUCAGGGCCACGCCUGCCUCUCUAGCAGCAGCCCACUCAGGCUUCGGAGGAAGCCCCUACCUCGACCACUGGUGCAACCCCAUGGCCUGAAGGAGGAAGGGGUGCGACAGGCGACAUGGAGCCUACAAAAAUCCCCAGGAGGCUCUCUGGGUACAGCCGAGAACUGUAAGAAUUGAAUUCCUCAAGAGUCGCUUGUUGGAAAUGUAUCAAUUACAGUGUGAUGAAGAGCCCUUGAAGGGGAAACCACAAAUCACAUUCCCAUUAUUAGGUGAAGUGAGAUGCACCACAAGUGAAAUCCAUCACUGUUGGGGUUUGUUUUUUUUUUAAAGAUGGACCAGGGACAGAGGAGAACUCACUCCCCCAACUCCUUCUGCAUUUGCCCCAUGUACCAUUAGUUCACCUCAGCUUUCUCUGUCAUUUUCUCCAUGCAUGACUCGCUUACAACUGACAGCAAAGGGCUUUAUCUGCUUCGGACAUCCCUGUCCAUCCAUAAUGCCCAGCAUCAGAGCCAUCUUGAGGGCACCGUGAACUUAGGAGACUGCCCUGGGCAGCAACGCCCCCCACGCUGAAGGGCUGGAGGGCAGGGAGAUGGGGCUGCCAGCAAGUGGCUGGACUAUGACUCGGGAGAAACAGGAGAGAAA